Molecule: ribosomal RNA, 544 nt
Filed under: uncultured bacterium
Lineage: Bacteria
Description: bacterial SSU rRNA
Rfam family: Bacterial small subunit ribosomal RNA
Source: RNAcentral
ACGGGAGGCAGCAGUGAGGAAUCUUCCACAAUGGGCGAAAGCCUGAUGGAGCAACGCCGCGUGAAGGAUGAAGGCCUUCGGGUUGUAAACUUCUUUUAUGAGUGAAGAAUAUGACGGUAACUCAUGAAUAAGCACCGGCUAACUACGUGCCAGCAGCCGCGGUCAUACGUAGGGUGCAAGCAUUAUCCGGAGUGACUGGGCGUAAAGAGUUGCGUAGGCGGUUUAGUAAGUGAAUAGUGAAACCUGGUGGCUCAACCAUACAGACUAUUAUUCAAACUGUUAAACUCGAGAGUGGUAGAGGUAACUGGAAUUUCUAGUGUAGGAGUGAAAUCCGUAGAUAUUAGAAGGAACACCAAUGGCGUAGGCAGGUUACUGGACCAUUUCUGACGCUAAGGCACGAAAGCGUGGGGAGCGAACUGGAUUAGAUACCCAGGUAGUCCACGCCGUAAACGAUGGAUACUAGCUGUUGGAGGUAUCGACCCCUUCAGUAGCGAAGCUAACGCGUUAAGUAUCCCGCCUGUGGAGUACGGCCGCAAGGCUAAAA